GGUGGGGAUGUGGGUCUAUUUGUCAAUAACAGCUGGUGUGCGAUGUCUAAUUUUAAAGAAGUCUCAAGGUAUUGCUCGCCUGAGGUAGAGUAUCUUUAUGAUAAGCUGUAGACCACACUAUCUAACAAGAGAGUUCUCAUCUAUAUUAUUCGUAGCUGUCUAUUUACCACCACAGAACGAAAGUGGCACUAAGACCGCUCUCACCCAACUCUAUAAGGCCAUAAGCAAAGAAGAAAAUGCUCACCCAGAAGCGGCGCUCCUAGUGGCUGGGGACUUUAAUGCAGGCAAACUUAAAUCAGUUUUACCAAUUUUUUACCAGCAUGUUACAUGUGCAACCAGAGGGGAAAAAAAUCCUAGACCACCUUUACUCCACACACAGAGAUGCAUACAAAGCUCUCCCUCGCCCUCAAUUUGGCAAAUCUGACCAUAAUUCUAUCCUCCUGAUUCCUGAUUGUAAGCAAAAACUAAAGCAGGAAGUACCAGUGACUUGCUCAAUACGGAAGUGGUCAGAUGACGCGGAUGCUACACUACAGGACUGUUUUGCUAGCACAGACUGGAAUAUGUUCCGGGAUUCAUCCAAUGACAUUGAGGAGUACACCACCUCAGUCAUCGGCUUCAUCAAUAAGUGCAUCGAUGACAUCGUCUCCACAGUGACUGUACAUAUCCCAACCAGAAGCCAUGGGUUACAGACAAACCAUCAAACAAGUAAAGCGUCAAUACAGGAUUAAGAUUGAAUCCUACUACACCGGCUCUGACGCUCGUCAGAUGUGGCAGGACUUGAAAACUAUUAGACUACAAAAGGAAACCCAGACACGAGCUGUCCAGUGACGCGAGCCUACCAGACAAGCUAAAAGCCUUUUAUGCUGUUUUCGAGGCAAGCAACACUGAAGCAUGCAUGGGGUGAUAGGUAGCCUAGUGGUUAGAGCGUUGGACUGGUAACAGAAAGGUUGCAAGAUCGAAUCCCUGAGCUGACAAGGUAAAAAUCUGUCGUUCUGCCCCGAACAAGGCAUUUAACCCACUGUUCCUAGGCUGUCAUUGAAAAUAAGGACUUGUUCUUAACUGACUUGCCUAGUUAAAUAAAGGUAAGAAAAAAAUGCACGAAAGCACCAGCUGUUCUGGAUGACUGAUAAUGCUCUCGGUAGCCGAUGUGAACAAAACCUUUAAACAGGUCAACAUUCACAAAGCCCCUGGGCCAGACGAAUUACCAGGAUGUGUACUCAAAAUAUGCGCGGGUCAAGUGUCUUCACUGACAUUUUCAACCUCACCCUGACCGAGUCUGUAAUACCUACAUGUUUCAAGCAGACCACCAUAGUCCCUGUGCCAAAGGAAGUGAAGGUAACCUGCCUAAAUGAUUACCGCCCCGUAUCACUCACGUCGGUAGCCAUGAAGUGCUUUGAAAGGCUGGUCAUGGCUCACAUCAACAGCAUCCUCCCGGACACCCUAGACCCACUCCAAUUCGCAUACCGCCCCAACAGAUCCACAGAUGACGCAAUCUCUAUUGCACUCAACACUGCCUUUUCCCACCUGGACAGAAGGAACACCUAUGUGAGAAUGCUGUUCAUUGACUACAGCUCAGCGUUCAACACCAUAGUGCCCACAAAGCUCAUCACUAAGCUAAGGACUCUGGGACUACAAACCUACCUCUGCAACUGGAUCCUGGACUUCCUGACGGGCCGUCCCCAGGUGGUAAGAGUAGGCAACAACACGUCUGCCACGCUGAUCCUCAACACUGGGGUCCCUCAGGGGUGUGUACUCCUGUACUCCCUGUUCUCCCACGACUGCGUGGCCAAACACAACUCCAACAUCAUCAUUAAGUUUGCUGAUGACACAAGUGGUAGGCCUGAUCACCGACAACGAUGAGAUGUCCUAUAGGGAGGAGGUCAGAGAACUGGCAGUGUGGUGCCAGGACAACAACCUCUCCCUCAAUGUGAUCAAGACAAAGGAGCUGAUCGUGGACUACAGGAAAAGGCAGUCCAAACAGGCCCCCAUUAACAUUGACGGGGCUGUAGUGGAGAGGGUCGAGAGUUUCAAGUUCCUUGGUGUCCACAUCACCAACAAACUAUCAUGGUCCAAACAUACCAAGACAGUUGUGAAGAGGGCACGACAAAACCUUUUCCCCCUCAGGAGACUGAAAAGAUUUGGCAUGGGUCCCUAGAUCCUCAAAAGGUUCUACAGCUGCACCAUCGAGAGCAUCCUCACCGGUUGCAUCACUGCCUGGUAUGGCAACUGCUUGGCAUCUGACGGUAAGGCGCUACAGAGGGUAGUGCGUACGGCCCAGUGCAUCACUGGAGCUAAACUUCCUGCCAUCCAGGACCUAUAUAAUAGAAGGUGUCAGAGGAAACUCCAGUCACCCAAGUCAUAGACUGUUUUCUCUGCUACUUCACGGCAAGCAGUACCGUAGUGCCAAGACUAGGACCAAAAGGCUCCUCAACAGCUUCUACCCCCAAGCCAUAAGACUGCUGAACAAUUAUUAAAAUCGGCAUCGGACUAUUUACAUUGACCUCCCCUCCCUUUUGUACACUGCUGCUACUCGUUGUUCAUUAUCUAUGCAGAGUUAGUUCACCCUAUCUACAUGUACAAAUUACCUCAACUAACCUGUACCCCCGCACACUGACUCGGUAUCGGUGACCCCUGUAUAUAGCCUCGUUAUUCUUAUUGUGUUACUUUUUAUUAUUAUUUUUUACUUCAGUCUAUUUGGUAAAUAUUUCCUUAACUCUUCUUGAACUGCACUGUUGGUUAAGGGCUUGUAAGUAAGCAUUUCACAGUAAGGUCUACACUUGUUGUAUACGGUGCAUGUGACAAAGUUUGGUUUGAUGAGGUGACUACCUCAAGCUCUAAACUCUCGAAGGUAGUAAUCACACCUGCGGGGAGAGGGGCAUUCUUCUUACCAAACCACAUUACCUUUGUUUUGUAGGUGUUCAGAACAAGGUUAAGUGUACAGAAAGCUUGUUGGACACUAAGAAAGCUUUGUUGUAGAGCAUUUAACACAAAGCCCGGGGAGGGGCCUGCUGAGAAUAAAACUGUAUCAUCUCCAUAUAAAUGGAUGAGAGAGCUUCCUACUGCCUGAGCUAUGUUGUUGAUGUAAAUUCAGAAGAGCGUGGGGCCUAGGAUUGAGCCUUGGGGUACUCCCUUGGUGACAGGCAGUGGCUGAGACAGCAGAUCUUCUGAUUUUAUACACUGCACUCUUUGAGAGAGGUAGUUAGCACACCAGGCCAAAGACCCCUCAGAGACACCAAUACUCCUUAGCCGGCCCACAAGAAUGGAAUGGUCUGCCAUAUCAAAAGCUUUGACCAAGUCAAUAAAAAUAGCAGCAGAACAUUGCUUAGAAUCAAGGGCAAUUGUGACAUCAUUGAGGACCUUUAAGGUUGCAGUGACACAUCCAUAACCUGAGUGGAAACCAGAUUGCAUACCAGAGAGAAUACUAUAGACAUCAAGAAAGCCAUUCAGUUGAUUAUUGACACAUUUUUCCAACACUUUUGAUAAGGAGGACAACAUAGAAAUAGGCCUAUAACUGUUAGGAUCAGUUUGAUCUCCCACUUUAAAUAAAGGAUAAACAGUGGCUUGGAAAAGCAAUGGGGAACCUCCCCAGAAAGGAUAGACAGGUUAAAAACUUCGGAGAUAGGCUUGGCAAUGAUUAGGGCUGCAACCUAAAUGAAGAAAGGGUCUAAACCAUCUGACCCAGAUUGUUUUUUGGGGUAAAGUUUCAGGAGCUCCUUUAGCACCUCAGACUCAGUGACUGCCUGCAGGGAGAAACUUUGUAGCGGGGCAGGGAGAAGUAUCAGGGAUAGUCGCAUUAGAAGGGGUGGGAGAUGAGGAAAUGUUGGAUGGGCAAUGAGGCAUGGCAGAGUCAAAUGGGAAUCCUGACUUAAUGAAGUGGUGAUUUAAAGAGCUGUGUUUGUUGUAAGUAACAACCACAUCAUCAACUUUAAGGGACAUGGGCAGCUGUGAGGAGGAGGGUUUAUUCUCCAGGUCUUUAACCGUUAAAUUGAAUAUCACUGACACCAUGAUUUGACAUUGUUGUUUUCCGAGGUCCCAGUUCUCUUGAAUACACAAAAAAAUAUAUACUUGCAACGGACUGCCUUUGGAACGAGCACAGAGCGCGGGAACCCGCAUCUCCAUCCCCUUUGCACGUACAGUUGAAGUUGGAAGUUUACAUACCCUUAGGUUGGAGUCAUUAAAACUCGUUUUUCAACCAGUCCACAAAUUUCUUGUUAACAAACUAUAGCUUUUUCAAGUCGGUUAGGACAUCUACUUUCUGCAUGGCACAAGUAAUUUUUCAAACAAUUGUUUACAGACAGAUUAUUUCACAUAUCAUUCACUAUAUCACAAUUUCUGUGGGUCAGAAGUUUACAUACACUAAGUUGACUGUGCCUUUAAACAGCUUGGAAAAUUCCAUAGAAUGAUGUCAUGGCUUUAAAAGCUUCUGAUAGGCUAAUUGACAUCAUUUGAGUCAAUUGGAGGUUUACCUGUGGAUGUACCUUCAAACUCAGUGCCUCUUUGCUUGACAUCAUGGGAAAUUCAAAAGAAAUCAGCCAAGACCUCAGAAAAAAUAUUGUAGACCUCCACAUGUCUGGUUCAUCCUUGAGAGCAAUUUCCAAACACCUGAAGGUACCGCGUUCAUCUGUACAAACAAUAGUACGCAAGUAUAAACAUCAUGGGACCAUGCAGCCAUCAUUCCACUCAGGAAGGAGACGCGUUCUGUCUCCUAGAUGAACGUACUUUGGUGCAAAAAGUGAAAAUCAAUCCCAGAACAACAGCAAAAGACCUUGUGAAGAUGCUGGAGGAAACAGGUCCAGAACUAUCUGUAUCCACAGUAAAAUGAGUCCUAUAUUGCCAUAACCUGAAAGGCCGCUCAGCAAGGAAGAAGCCACUGCUCCAAAACCGCCAUAUAAAAGCCAGACUACGGUUUGCAACUGCACUUGCGGACAACGAUUGUACUUUUUGGAGAAAUGUACUCUGGUCUGAUGAAACAAAAAUAGAACUGUUUGGCCAUAAUGACCAUUGUUAUGUUUGGAGGAAAAAGGGGGAGGCUUGCAAGCCAAAGAAGACUCCCUACCGUGAGCACAGGGGUGGCAGCAUCAUGUUGUGGAGGUGCUUUGCUGCCAGAGGGACUGGUGCACUUCACAAAAUAGAUAGCAUCAUGAGGAAGGACAAUUAUGUGGAUAUAUUGAAGCAACAUCUCAAGACACCAGUCAAGAUGUUAAAGCUUGGUCGCAAAUGGGUCUUCUAAAUGGUCAAUGACCCCAAGCAUACUUCCAAAGUUGUGGCAAAAUGGUUUGUGGACAACAACGUCAGGGUAUUGGAGUGGCCAUCACAAAGCCCUGACCUCAAUCCCAUAGAACAUUUGUGGGCAGAACUGAAAAAGUGUGUGCGAGCAAGGAGGCCUACAAACCUGACACAGUUACACCAGCUCUAUCAGGACAAAUGGGACAAAUUUACCCCAAUUUAUUGUGGGAAGCUUGUGGAAGGCUACCUGAAACUUUUGACCCAAGUUAACAAUUUAAAGGCAAUGCUACCAAAUACUAAUUCAUUGUAUGUAAACUUCUGACCCACUGGGAAUGUGGUGAAAUAAAUAAAAGCUGAAAUAAAUCACUCUACUAUUAUUCUAACAUUUCACAUUCUUAAAAUAAAGUGGUGAACCUAACUGACCUAAGACAGGGGAUUUUAACUCUGAUUAAUUGUCAGGAAUUGUGAAAAACUGAGUUGAAAUGUAUUUGGCUAAGGUGUAUGUAAACUUCCCACUUCAACUGUAUGUGACAAGACCUAAACAGACCGACGGCCAAUUGAUAGAUUGUAACAUUGCCCAGGCCUACUAUAUCUUAUCAUUGUUUUUUGAGUGUGUAUAGGAAAAGAGCACAUCAGUCCAGUCUAAAUCUCUAUCCAUCUGACAAGGUAACCAACAACCAGGUGUUCACCUCCGCAUUGAAUUCCAUUUAGCCACAAAAACUAGCCUAAGAGCCAAAACACAGGUUUGCAUGAACUCUCCUCCUGUCACAACACAGACUGUACAGUACAAAAAAAUAUGUUUUCUAGAGAUGGCACUCUCUAACCCAGCACUCUCAGUAAACACAGCCAUAGCUGUGCUGAAGCACCCUCCUGAAAAAUCGUAAUAAAAAAAUAAGAUAAAAUUAAAAUAAACUAGCGCAACACCCCCAGCCUCAAACUACUUCCCGCGGCUAUGAACACAUCUACAAACAUGCUCUCAUACCUGUCCUGUCAGUAAAACUAGUAAGAUAGAAAUGUACACAUAGCUACAUACCUUUCUCCACUAUAGGUUACCUUUUUUUUUGCUCACAACUCUAUGCAGGCUUAAGGCUGUACCUACUGCUCCGGCCUCUAGGUCACCAGGCUGCUCGUUAUGGUGCACACCUGUCACCAUUAUGACACUCACCUUGACUCAUCACCUCCUUGAUUACCUGCUCUAUAUAUGUCACUCCCUUUGGAUCCUUCCCCAGGUGUCAUUGUUUCUGUUUCUUGUCUGGGCGUUGUUCGUGUUACUUGUUUUGUUUAUAAAAAAAAACACUCCCUGAACUUGCUUCCUGACUUUCAACGCACAUCGUUACAGAAUAAUGCCUCACCAAAGGCCAUUCUGAAGUGAUGUCGGGUCCGGGUGUUAAAAUCGGAGCUACCUGGGAG
This 6636-nucleotide long non-coding RNA is filed under the name Salmo salar (Atlantic salmon). RNAcentral describes it as "lncRNA (ENSSSAG00000097185.1)". Lineage: Eukaryota; Metazoa; Chordata; Actinopteri; Salmoniformes; Salmonidae. The record is from RNAcentral.